Long non-coding RNA from Chinchilla lanigera (long-tailed chinchilla), 1024 nucleotides. RefSeq lists it as uncharacterized. The record is from RefSeq and is a predicted model, not a curated record. Lineage: Eukaryota; Metazoa; Chordata; Mammalia; Rodentia; Chinchillidae. The transcript has 3 exons.
AGUUAUCACACACCCAUAAUCCCAUUGUUGCACACCAUAACCCAUCAUCGUGCCCCUUGGUCCAGCUACCUCUCAAAAGCCUCAUUUGUGAGCACAGGAGUCUUUGGAAGGACAUCAAGAUACGAGUCUUUGGAAGGACAUCAAGAUAGGAGACUUAACAACAAGGAAGUAGAAGAUGAAGUGGAUUUCUGAGGAGUUGAAGGAUUUGUUUUGGCAUUCUGAUUGAAGGUUGGCUGAGAGAAGAAAUGAGAUGUGGUCUGAGGGAUGAUACGACUAUGACAGACUUCCCAGAGAACGAGUACCUCCUCGGAGUCAUCCCACUGUGCCAAAUACUGCAUCCUGCCCACCCUUCAAAGUCCCCAGGGUGAGGAUGGUGAGAAGAUGGAGCCAAAAGGACAAGAGUCACAAUACGGAAAACAGGCCAGCUGGAGCCCUCUCUCCUGGUGGGAAGGAAGGAAGAAGGAAGAGGAGGAGGAGAAGGAGGAAGAAGAAAGACACUCUUGAUAGUGGUAUGGAUAUCUUGUUCCCGGGCAAGAGAGUUUUGCCAAUCUAGGAGGCCUUUGUUUGCUGAGCUUCCCAGUGCCUGGCCUUGGACAUCAGUGCAUCCUUCCCUGAAGCUUCCUGACUCCCUCUUUGGCCUGGCCUUUCCCUGGCUGCCUGUAACUCCCUUUGCUUGGACCCGGCUUGAAACCUCCACACAUACACGAAUUGCCAGGCUCCCACACCUUACAGUACUGUUCAUUUGAGUCAGUUUUUGGCUUUUAAUUACUUCAGUUGUGUCCUGGAAAUUGCAGGCCUCUUACGAAGUUCAAUUGUUAGUUAUUUCCUGUGUCCUUUCUAGCUUUUAUUUCUUCUGUCAUUCCUCAGAAGGAGAAAAUAAUAAGAGAAAAAUUAUUCCCUGAAUUUAGAGCUGUCCCCAGACCUUUGCACACCAGGGUAGGACAUGGAGGUUGAUUAUAUGAAGGGACAAAAUGUGAGCAGAUAAUGAGAGGGUGGGCUGGGCAUGGUGGCACACGCCUGUAAU